Herpailurus yagouaroundi (jaguarundi) is the source of this 821-nucleotide long non-coding RNA. RefSeq lists it as uncharacterized. The transcript is spliced from 4 exons. The record is from RefSeq and is a predicted model, not a curated record. NCBI's taxonomy places the organism in Eukaryota, Metazoa, Chordata, Mammalia, Carnivora, Felidae.
UUUUCUUUCUCUUUUUUUUUCCAGCCACAUUGAGCUGUACUGCAAGGGUACAGAUGCACAGCGGGCAAAGGUCGUUAUACAAUCAGAACUGUAUUUAACCAAAGCAAGAGAGCAGCCAGCAAGUUACAGGUGUACACAAGCGAGUAUACAGGCUGACCAUGUUAAGAAGGGAGAAGAGGGAUGGCGAGGUAUAGAGCUAUGAUCAGUGCAUCCGGCGUGGGGAUUGGGGAGACUUCCAAAAUCUGGGUAGGCGCUUAUGAAACUACAAAACUUCCCUGGUCCCGCAGACAGGUGCUUCCCUGGAGACUGGGGCCGCCCGGGGUCAGCCAGGCUCCAAGCCCCACGCACCUCCUGCCGCCCAGGACUACGCCUCCCGGCGGCCUCUGCGCCCGGCGCCCAGGACUACACUCCCCGGCGGCCCCCACUUCGGAAGCGGUUUCGUCCAGAUCUGCCUUCCCGCCGCUGAUUGGCUGCUGGCGUCCGCCGACCGCGCGGCGGCUCUCGGAGGUGGUGUCGGUCCGCUUGUCCUGACGCCAGGGGUUGGCAGUAUUCAAGGACGUGGCGAUAGACUUCACCCAGGGAGAGUGGAACUACUCUGGGUGCUGCACAAAAAGACUUAUCCAGAGACGUGAUGUUGGAAAACUACCACAACCUGGUCUCUGUCGUAGGACUUUCCAGAUCUAAGCCAGAUGUGAUCUCCUUAUUGGAGCAAGAGAAGCAGCCUUGGAUGGUUACAAAGGCCUUGACAGGUGGACCUUGCCCAGAGAGAGACAGAGCAUGAACGGGGGAGGGGCAGAGAGAGAGGGAGACACAGAAUCGGA